GGGCCGGUAGUUUAGUCUGGUAGAAUACCUGCCUUGCAUGCAACUAGCAGAGGAAACGUAGGUGGUCGUGGGUUCAAAUCCCACCCGGUCCAC
This 93-nucleotide transfer RNA is filed under the name Candidatus Nitrosocosmicus oleophilus. RNAcentral describes it as "tRNA-Ala". It matches the Rfam family "tRNA". Rfam says of the family: Transfer RNA (tRNA) molecules are approximately 80 nucleotides in length. Their secondary structure includes four short double-helical elements and three loops (D, anti-codon, and T loops). Further hydrogen bonds mediate the characteristic L-shaped molecular structure. tRNAs have two regions of fundamental functional importance: the anti-codon, which is responsible for specific mRNA codon recognition, and the 3' end, to which the tRNAs corresponding amino acid is attached (by aminoacyl-tRNA synthetases). tRNAs cope with the degeneracy of the genetic code in two manners: having more than one tRNA (with a specific anti-codon) for a particular amino acid; and 'wobble' base-pairing, i.e. permitting non-standard base-pairing at the 3rd anti-codon position. Lineage: Archaea; Thermoproteati; Nitrososphaerota; Nitrososphaeria; Nitrososphaerales; Nitrososphaeraceae. The record is from RNAcentral.